AAUUCUCAAUCCUCUUAACAUUUGAGGCUUUGGAUUUUGAAGUGUUGCUGGCAUUCUCAAAUGUCGGCUACUUUUAAAUGUAUUAGCUAGCCAUCUUCACAUAAGCUUUAGUUUGAUAAAUAUCUAUGCUAAUGGCUUUGAAGCAAAUGUUAGCUUCUAGUUGUUUUCAUAACACUAUAACA
Molecule: unclassified non-coding RNA, 182 nt
Filed under: uncultured Hygrophoraceae
Lineage: Eukaryota; Fungi; Basidiomycota; Agaricomycetes; Agaricales; Hygrophoraceae
Description: sequence contains ITS2
Source: RNAcentral